UAUAACGAUCUCUCAUGCCAAUUAGUGUCUCUAGUCAUUAUUUUAUAACAGCUUUUUAUUUUUUGAUGUUAUGAUUAACUAAGUUCUUUUUAUAUUUUUUGUAAUGGAAGACGCAUUUCAAAAACUGCAGAAUGAUGGAAAAAAUAGUGUUAAUGGUCUUAUUGAUUGGAUGAAAGGAGCGAAAAUUAUAGACGGAGCGAAAAUCACCGAGGAAAAGGCUCGGGAAUACUUCGAAAGCGUUCCCAAUCCCCAAAAUGUUGAGAUGUCUCAGUUCAAAGAAGUCCUGAAUGAGCUGGCAUCGGAAACACAGAAGAGCGUGUCUGACUUCAUCACAACCCUGACAGAUCAAAGGCCGAAGCUAAUGAACGCAGCAAUGGCGGCUGCAACAGCCUUCAAAGACGCGCUCGAUAAAAAAUAAAGAUUUGAUACAUUAUCAGCUUCUAUUGCAAUAAAUUGUCACAGGGAUAAAAAAAAAAUUGUU
Leptidea sinapis is the source of this 481-nucleotide long non-coding RNA. RefSeq lists it as uncharacterized. The transcript has 2 exons. The record is from RefSeq and is a predicted model, not a curated record. Lineage: Eukaryota; Metazoa; Arthropoda; Insecta; Lepidoptera; Pieridae.